UGCAGUCGAGCGAGGCCCACUCUUCGGGGUGGUGCCCUAGCGGCGAACGGGUGAGUAACACGUGGGCAACCUGCCCUCAGCUCUGGGAUAACUCCAAGAAAUUGGUGCUAAUACCGGAUGUGACCGCUGACCGCAUGGUCUGGUGGUGGAAAGAUUCAUCGGCUGAGGAUGGGCCCGCGGCCUAUCAGCUUGUUGGUGGGGUAGUGGCCCACCAAGGCGACGACGGGUAGCCGGCCUGAGAGGGUGACCGGCCACACUGGGACUGAGACACGGCCCAGACUCCUACGGGAGGCAGCAGUGGGGAAUAUUGCGCAAUGGGCGGAAGCCUGACGCAGCGACGCCGCGUGAGGGAUGACGGCCUUCGGGUUGUAAACCUCUUUCAGUAGGGACGAAGCGAAAGUGACGGUACCUACAGAAGAAGCACCGGCCAACUACGUGCCAGCAGCCGCGGUAAUACGUAGGGUGCAAGCGUUGUCCGGAAUUAUUGGGCGUAAAGAGCUCGUAGGCGGUCUGUCGCGUCGGCUGUGAAAACCCGAGGCUCAACCUCGGGCCUGCAGUCGAUACGGG
This 567-nucleotide ribosomal RNA is filed under the name Modestobacter sp. Br29. RNAcentral describes it as "bacterial SSU rRNA". It matches the Rfam family "Bacterial small subunit ribosomal RNA", at positions 56 to 636 of the family's 1533-position model. Lineage: Bacteria; Bacillati; Actinomycetota; Actinomycetes; Geodermatophilales; Geodermatophilaceae. The record is from RNAcentral.